This 487-nucleotide ribosomal RNA is filed under the name uncultured bacterium. RNAcentral's name for it is "bacterial SSU rRNA". It matches the Rfam family "Bacterial small subunit ribosomal RNA", at positions 28 to 525 of the family's 1533-position model. The record is from RNAcentral.
GACGAACGCUGGCGGCGUGCUUAACACAUGCAAGUCGAACGGACGAGUGAGAUAAGUUUACUUAACUCACAAGUUAGUGGCGGACGGGUGAGUAACACGUGGAUAAUCUACCUGCAACACCGGGAUAACGCUGUGAAAACGGUGCUAAUACCGGAUACGUUCCCUUGUGCGCAUGUAUGAGGGAAGAAAGCUCAGGCGGUUGCAGAUGAGUCCGCGGCUGAUUAGCUAGUUGGUGAGGUAAAGGCUCACCAAGGCGAUGAUCAGUAGCCGGCCUGAGAGGGUGAACGGCCACACUGGGACUGAGACACGGCCCAGACUCCUACGGGAGGCAGCAGUGGGGAAUAUUGGACAAUGGGGGAAACCCUGAUCCAGCAACGCCGCGUGGAUGAUGAAGGUCUUCGGAUUGUAAAGUCCUUUUGGCGGGGACGAUGAUGACGGUACCGCAGAAUAAGCUCCGGCUAACUUCGUGCCAGCAGCCGCGGUAAGG